Molecule: transfer RNA, 71 nt
Filed under: Bos taurus (domestic cattle)
Lineage: Eukaryota; Metazoa; Chordata; Mammalia; Artiodactyla; Bovidae
Also listed under: 2 other names
Rfam family: tRNA
About the family: Transfer RNA (tRNA) molecules are approximately 80 nucleotides in length.
Source: Rfam by way of RNAcentral
UCCCUGAUGACUCAGUGGUAAAGAAUCUGCCUGCAAUGCAGGAGACCCAGGUUCAAUCCCUGGGCUGGGAA